CACGGGGGGAGCAAGCGUUGUUCGGAUUUAUUGGGCGUAAAGAGCUCGUAGGCGGCUCCGCAAGUCAGGGGUGAAAUCCCACGGCUCAACCGUGGACACGCCCUUGAAACUAUGGAGCUUGAGGCCGGGAGAGGAAAGUGGAAUUCCUGGAGUAGCGGUGAAAUGCGUAGAUAUCAGGAGGAACACCAGUGGCGAAGGCGACUUUCUGGACCGGUUCUGACGCUGAGGAGCGAAAGCUAGGGGAGCAAACAGG
RNAcentral lists this ribosomal RNA (253 nucleotides) under uncultured bacterium. RNAcentral describes it as "partial 16S ribosomal RNA". It matches the Rfam family "Bacterial small subunit ribosomal RNA", at positions 524 to 776 of the family's 1533-position model. The record is from RNAcentral.